Molecule: ribosomal RNA, 657 nt
Filed under: uncultured Mycobacterium sp.
Lineage: Bacteria; Bacillati; Actinomycetota; Actinomycetes; Mycobacteriales; Mycobacteriaceae
Description: bacterial SSU rRNA
Rfam family: Bacterial small subunit ribosomal RNA
Source: RNAcentral
GCACUUCGGGAUAAGCCUGGGAAACUGGGUCUAAUACCGAAUAGGACCAUUUAGCGCAUGCUUUAUGGUGGAAAGCUUUUGCGGUGUGGGAUGGGCCCGCGGCCUAUCAGCUUGUUGGUGGGGUGACGGCCUACCAAGGCGACGACGGGUAGCCGGCCUGAGAGGGUGUCCGGCCACACUGGGACUGAGAUACGGCCCAGACUCCUACGGGAGGCAGCAGUGGGGAAUAUUGCACAAUGGGCGCAAGCCUGAUGCAGCGACGCCGCGUGGGGGAUGACGGCCUUCGGGUUGUAAACCUCUUUCAGCAGGGACGAAGCGCAAGUGACGGUACCUGCAGAAGAAGCACCGGCCAACUACGUGCCAGCAGCCGCGGUAAUACGUAGGGUGCGAGCGUUGUCCGGAAUUACUGGGCGUAAAGAGCUCGUAGGUGGUUUGUCGCGUUGUUCGUGAAAUCUCACGGCUUAACUGUGAGCGUGCGGGCGAUACGGGCAGACUGGAGUACUGCAGGGGAGACUGGAAUUCAUGGUGUAGCGGUGGAAUGCGCAGAUAUCAAGAGGAACACCGGUGGCGAAGGCGGGUCUCUGGGCAGUAACUGACGCUGAGGAGCGAAAGCGUGGGGAGCGAACAGGAUUAGAUACCCUGGUAGUCCACGCCGUA